UACAGAGGGUGCGAGCGUUAAUCGGAAUUACUGGGCGUAAAGCGCGCGUAGGCGGAUUUUCAAGUCGAUUGUGAAAUCCCCGGGCUUAACCUGGGAACUGCAGUCGAGACUGUCUAGCUAGAGUAUGGGAGAGGGAAGUGGAAUUUCAGGUGUAGCGGUGAAAUGCGUAGAUAUCUGAAGGAACAUCAGUGGCGAAAGCGACUUCCUGGACCAAUACUGACGCUCAUGUGCGAAAGCGUGGGGAGCAAACGGG
Molecule: ribosomal RNA, 253 nt
Filed under: uncultured bacterium
Lineage: Bacteria
Description: partial 16S ribosomal RNA
Rfam family: Bacterial small subunit ribosomal RNA
Source: RNAcentral